This 255-nucleotide ribosomal RNA is filed under the name uncultured bacterium. RNAcentral describes it as "partial 16S ribosomal RNA". It matches the Rfam family "Bacterial small subunit ribosomal RNA", at positions 524 to 777 of the family's 1533-position model. The record is from RNAcentral.
UACGUAGGAUGCAAGCGUUGUCCGGAAUUAUUGGGCGUAAAGAGCGCGCAGGCGGUAUGACAAGUCAGAUGUGAAAGAGGCCGGCUUAACCGGCAAGGGUCAUUUGAAACUGUCAGACUAGAGUGCAGCAGAGGAUAGUGGAAUUCCCGGUGUAGCGGUGAAAUGCGUAGAGAUCGGGAGGAACACCCGUGGCGAAGGCGGCCAUCUGGACCAGCACUGACGCUGAGGCACGGAAAGCGUGGGGAGCAAACAGGG